UUUUUUUUUUAAGAAUGGUCAACUCUAUCAUUCACAGCCUCAAAUUAAUAGGAGAGUCAUUAGCUUGCAUGAGGGCGAUGGGAGACAAUGGAAGACAGUACCCUUCCAUCAUUCACAGCCGCAAUGCCAACCAACUGUGAACAGGGCAUUGCUAAUACUAAAUAUAUAUAUAUAUAUAUAUAUAUGGCCAGCUGCAUCAGCUCGAGAUCUAAGAGCUACAAAGCCCUUUGGCUCUGUUAAACCUUUGCUGCUUCACCUCUUCU
Molecule: long non-coding RNA, 263 nt
Filed under: Musa acuminata (dwarf banana)
Lineage: Eukaryota; Viridiplantae; Streptophyta; Magnoliopsida; Zingiberales; Musaceae
Description: long non-coding RNA (MACU_LNC004188)
Source: RNAcentral